AUAUUGGUGGUUCGGUGGUGGAAUUCUUGCCUUCCAUGCUGGUGUCCUGGGUUCAAAUCCUGACCAAUGCA
RNAcentral lists this transfer RNA (71 nucleotides) under Loxodonta africana (African savanna elephant). It matches the Rfam family "tRNA". From Rfam's summary of the family: Transfer RNA (tRNA) molecules are approximately 80 nucleotides in length. Their secondary structure includes four short double-helical elements and three loops (D, anti-codon, and T loops). Further hydrogen bonds mediate the characteristic L-shaped molecular structure. tRNAs have two regions of fundamental functional importance: the anti-codon, which is responsible for specific mRNA codon recognition, and the 3' end, to which the tRNAs corresponding amino acid is attached (by aminoacyl-tRNA synthetases). tRNAs cope with the degeneracy of the genetic code in two manners: having more than one tRNA (with a specific anti-codon) for a particular amino acid; and 'wobble' base-pairing, i.e. permitting non-standard base-pairing at the 3rd anti-codon position. Lineage: Eukaryota; Metazoa; Chordata; Mammalia; Proboscidea; Elephantidae. The record is from Rfam by way of RNAcentral.